CAUCCAGGCACCUCAGACUGGAAGGCUACACAAAAUUUGGGACCUGACUAUGCAUCAGUAAUCAAGUUGUGAAUGUGCCAAGAACCUCUGUUGUUUUCUGCCAAGAAGGUCAAAGGCUGUUCUACUGUGCAAAUAUUCACUUUAACAGACUGCACAGCUCAACAAUGACUUUUCUCAGCACGCAAUUCAAGAAACUGAAGCAGUUAAUUCCACUUCCCCCCUAAAGACAUCAGCCCUAAAAAUGACUGAAACUUCAUUUUGUUUCUUCUUUCACUAAUCAUGUUGCAUGAAAUGAUUUUGAAAGAGUCGCUCUACGUGGUGCUCCUUCCCUAAGCUCUUGUCAAGGCCCUAUCAGUGUUAGAAGCAGACAGAAGCUGGAGGGAUUUCGUCCUGGUUCGUACCCAGAUGGGAGACCACCAGACAAUUCCAGAAUUCACUAGCAUUCAACAUCUACCGAGCGAAAAAACUGCAAGGAUCGGAUUCUCCCACAGUGCAUCCAUGUAAGCCACCCAACAAUGAUGGCUUGUAAUAGGGGCACUGGGCUUUGCUGCCACAUUAUUUGAACAAGUGGAAACUCAGCCUGCUGUGUAAUUAAUCCAGGGCUGAAUAAUGAAUUGCAGUUCCCAUGCCUGUAAGGGGACACUGACCUGAACCAGCAAAACCUGUCAUGCCCCCAACAGUUCAAAACUUUCAUAUUUUCUCAUGGAUGCAGUAUCACACCAUUUAGCAUCCAACUGUUACAUUUAUAGAAUUGUAUAUUUGAUCAGUCCCUUAAUCUAGUUCAACAAUCAGAUGGAACAAUAGGAAAAAUCAUUUAAUAUUAAAUAAAAGAUUUUUCUCUUAA
Molecule: long non-coding RNA, 844 nt
Organism: Anolis sagrei ordinatus
Lineage: Eukaryota; Metazoa; Chordata; Lepidosauria; Squamata; Anolidae
Source: RefSeq, a predicted model, not a curated record